Molecule: long non-coding RNA, 2686 nt
Organism: Drosophila sechellia
Lineage: Eukaryota; Metazoa; Arthropoda; Insecta; Diptera; Drosophilidae
Exons: 2
Source: RefSeq, a predicted model, not a curated record
UAUAGUUAUAUUUUUUAUACUAUAAUACAUUUUAAUGCAUGUCUACUUUUUACAUCCCGCUUUGUUUAAAUCUCUCAUUUGUUUUUACGUCCCAUACUUGUUUUUUUUCGCUUAUUUUAUUAUUUUAGAAAAUUUCAACAUUCGUUUUCCCCGGAACAUAAAACAAAAGUAAAUCUCAUACACAUAUAAAACAGAGCUCAUCUGCCACACACGAAAUGUUCAGGAAAUACAUAAUUUCAUUAUGUUUCUCCCCGCUGUUCCCUGGAAUCGCCUGCAGCACAAACUGUCAACACGGUUGGCAUACCUCCUCCCCCUGCAAAAAUUUUUUACCAACUCUCACCACAUUUUGGCCGGCCCCACCCACUUUUCUUAGCCCGGGGGCGUUGGCAGAUAACGGUUUACUUUCUUAAUCUCUGUACAUAAUUUUUGCGACUUCAUGUUACGCAAUGUAUGUAUGGCGCAUUCUUUCCGCUUCUGCGGAAUAACACACGCUCUUCUCCAUUUAAGGUAACUUGGUUUAUCUGAAGGCUUUGGCCAUUUAGUUAAUUGCUAAAUAUGUCUGCUUUCGUUUAAUUAUAUCUAGUUUAGCGCAUAUUUAUUAUAAUGAACUACUAUCGGUGCUUAGGUUAAAUAAUAUAUAUUUGCCAAGAUGUAUUCAAAAUUACUUAUUUGAUUAUUUUAUAUGCAUGAUUUUACUCGUUUCUAUGAUUUAAAUUAUGAUUCUACAGAAAAGCCUUGCUUUACUUAUUGAUUUCCCUGCUUGAUUUUCACCUUAGUUCGAUGGCCUUUAGCCCUCACCACCCACUUUGCUGCAUAUGUAUGUACAUACAUAUAUGACUGACUGUCUUUAAAUAUUUUAUUGCCCCGACUAUCUGCUGGUGCUGUUAGUUGAAGGGUGCUGACAUUCUCUGUGGCAAGUUUUUCUUCUUUCGAGGAAAACGCAUUUGGCCGAGAGGUAAACGCCGAGGAACAGCUUUAAGAAACCCUUGGCAGCGCUUUCAAUUACCAACUUAGCGCUGAUUACUUAUUCGUCAGCGUCAUGACCGGAAAUCCAAGGGCGGGUUUCGGGGGAUCGGUAUAAGCUGGCCCACUUCUGCACCGCCCAGGCCACAAGCAUAUUAGUCAAAAGGAGUUGACUCCUCCAUACUUUCACUCGACUCCGAAACUGCGACGUGGACUUGGACUCCUCGACUCGACUCAACUCAACUCGACUCGGCUUGGUCACUUAAUCUCGCCCUUUUGGUAUGCACGGACUGUAUUCAAAUGAAUUCUGAUUGAAUUCUUUGAAGCUCAUCAGUAAGAAGCGAUUUUUUUCUAUCUAAGGCAUCAGAUGAAGCUGGAGCCGUGGCAGGAGUCCUGCUGCGACGACUGGGCCUUGGCACAUCCUUCAGACAUUUAUUUUCAGUAAUGGAAAAAAUGUGUUCUGCAAUUUCGCUCAUUUUUAUACAUAAAUUUACCAGGCAAGCCCACGAGUGAGGCGGUGUGGUCCGAGCCAAAGAGAAAAAGAAAUGCGGGAAAUAUAAUGCUAAAACGUAAAGUAAAUAAAGGAUAAUGCAGCAAGGAUAUAAAUUACAUAAAGCAGCGCGAGAUGACUAACUGUGGCAGGCCAGAGCUGCUCCACGACAACGGAACGUGGCCGGCAUUAGCUGUUCAAACAAAGCUUCAGAGGGUCUUCAUUGGAGAAGCAAAGUCUCAGCACUGAGAGAAAAUUUGAUAAGUUUCUUGUAUCGAUAUAUUACUAUUUAUACCUGUAUAUGAUUCUUUCUUGUGUUUUUCUUUUAAGAGAGCAUUUGAUGUGAGUGAGUUGCUACUAUUUUGAACAUUCAUUAGUAACAUUUGAACUAAAAACUUCGAGAAUUUUCUCUAUGCGCCAGCGGAAGCCAAGGCGGCGCAUUAGAAAAUGGUGCGCAGCGGAAACGGAAGUGGAAAUAUUUUUAAUGAUUGGUAAAUUUUUUGACGGCUCCUCUCCAGCAGUCCCUCACUCCCGCUGUCACAAAACGCAUUGCCUUCGAUGCGAAGGAUUUUUGGGUGGAUGCUGGCCAGGAUCGUCGUCGUCUAAUAUUCCUUUGUGCGGCCGUUAUUAUUGAUGGAAAUGCAAAUUGGAUUUUCAAAUUUACUUCCCUGUUUGCUCUGCCAAUCGACACACAAAAGUGUCGGAAGAGGAAAAACGCAGGGUGCAAAAGAGCUAAAGAUUCGCUGGGGAUUUCUCACUUUUACCCGGGAUUUAUGGAAAAUUAUCAAGGACAGCCAAAAAGUAGCAUUUAUCAAUGAGCCAGAGCUUAUCCAGCGAGAGUUUUAUAUAUUCCGGGAAAGUUAUUUGCAACAGAUUCCCCCGAGCAAUAUAUCACUGAAUCAAUAGGGAUUAACUUUGAAUACUGAUUUCAGAAAUAACCAAUUAAUAAAAUAAGACCCCAUUCAACUCUUUUCCAGCCUGUCGCUUCUCGAUUCCACUUGCUAGUCGCUUGCAUUUUACUUCAAAGUAAUUAACGCCGCUCCAAAACAGACACCAAUUUGCAUAGUUGACCCCCGUUCGUAAGCCCCCCGAUAUCCGCCCACCACCCACAAGGCACCCGUUCGGAUUGGAGAACCUAUUACUCAAGACGUUCAAACACACACUGAUGGAAUGAAAUGGGGGGCGGGCUGUGGGGGAUAUUAAAAUAAAAACUUGCAGCCUCUGAAAACAAAA